UGAAAUUUGGGGAAAAGACUCAAGAUUAAUCCUACGGUAUUAGUACACUCCCGGAAGGUGAUGAAAGUAGGUGGAGCCAAAAAGACAAAACAAAGAAGAAGACAAAAAAUGAAGAGGAAAAAACACAAGAAGAUGAGGAUCAUCAGGAGCAAUAUUAAUUGCAUGGAGACAAAGAACCAAAUCAGAAAAAGCAAGAGGAGGAGGAUGUGCUGCACUGCAUUCUGGGAUGUGUACGUGCGUACGCAAGGGCGUAUGCCCUGCGCUGCACAUACCAACCCAAUUUUGCUCCAUUUUGAGGUCUAUAAAAGGCAUCAUCCUCUCCCAAAUCAGAACCUUGGCUGAGCAAGAUGUUGAAAUUAGAGCAAAA
This is a long non-coding RNA of Ipomoea triloba (trilobed morning glory), 367 nucleotides long. RefSeq lists it as uncharacterized. Lineage: Eukaryota; Viridiplantae; Streptophyta; Magnoliopsida; Solanales; Convolvulaceae. The transcript has 2 exons. The record is from RefSeq and is a predicted model, not a curated record.